RNAcentral lists this ribosomal RNA (107 nucleotides) under uncultured bacterium. Its description in RNAcentral is "partial 16S ribosomal RNA". It matches the Rfam family "Bacterial small subunit ribosomal RNA", at positions 1367 to 1482 of the family's 1533-position model. The record is from RNAcentral.
UACGUUCCCGGGCCUUGUACACACCGCCCGUCAAGCCAUGGAAGCUGGGGGUGUCUGAAGUCGGUGACCGCAAGGAGCUGCCUAGGGUAAAACUAGUAACUAGGGCU